This is a long non-coding RNA of Ipomoea nil (Japanese morning glory), 1276 nucleotides long. RefSeq lists it as uncharacterized. The record is from RefSeq and is a predicted model, not a curated record. The transcript is spliced from 2 exons. Lineage: Eukaryota; Viridiplantae; Streptophyta; Magnoliopsida; Solanales; Convolvulaceae.
CAGAAAGAUAUCAUCAGCCAACCGAAGAAAAAUCUCCACAACAGCUAAGAAUUGUAACAAUUAGUGUGACUUUACAUCAAAUUAUUAGUAUUAUGGACCGUUUUAGCAAGCAAAAGGCGAAGGGCUGACAAAUCUUUACAGCUGCUUUUGAACAACAGAAGAAAGGAAUAGGAAUCAUAAGUCAAUAGACAGGUAAGAAGUUAGGAAUCAAUAAUUGUGGGGUGGCUCACAAGCCCCAGCUGGGCUGUGCUGUGCUGGAAAUUUUACGGUUUUUACCAGCCUGAUUCUCACAACUCAGUGAAUAACACAUAUGAACCCCACCACCUGACCCUCCCGUGUGCUAGCUUCGUUUUGCUAAAGUCCCCCGGGAAAAAUCAAACCUAAAAAUGUUUUCUUUAAUCAAAAUAUACACACACCGACAGUUCUUGACCUACCUAUUAGUGUAAACUAUUUUUUUGAAAGCUCAAUGAUUUGCACACCUACGCCUGGUCUAACCUUUUCUCUUAUUUAAUCAUAAAACGAAAGCAACAUAUUAAUCAGAGUGACAACGACAAUUGGCUAAUUUGCACUAGAAGAAACUCGCAAAGCUACACCUAAAACCAUGAUGUGCCAACCAGACUUAUUCGAUCCAUAUACAAAAGUUAGAUACAUAACUUCUCCAUUGAGCAAGAUAGUCCAUCAGAAAAAGCUAAGAAAAUUGCAAGUGCCACCUGCAAGCUUAAUCAAAUAUUCCCUUUGAUGCAACACCACCAACAACAAACAACCUCGACGAAACCACUAAGUUUCAAGCCAUUUCUAUAGUAACACGAGAUUAGAAAGCGUUUUUCUGAUCUAAUCCCUAUUAGCAGCCACACUAACCUUAAAAACCACAGCUGACAUACAUAUGUAUACACAUUAAACUCAUUUUGAAAUUUAAGGCAAUUACAUAUAAAGACUUCAAUUUUCACAAGCAAGUAAUCUUGUAAUAAUUCAAGAAAUCAAUACAAACAAGAUGGCAAUCCUUCCCGGGACAACCUCAACCAAGUUGGUAAGGUCUUUGACUUCGUAACCACAAGGCUAUAAGUUCAAUUCCUAAUAAGAGGAACCAAUCAGGCAACCUAGGCUUGUUUAACUCGUUGUGAUCCUUUGUUGACUAGGAUCACAAGACAGACUUUCUGGGCAACCUAGGCUGGUUUACCUCAUUGUGGUCUUUUGCCGGCUAGGGUCACAAGGCGAGGUUUACCCAGUGCACACCCUCGGAUAGUGGCUACGGGUUUCCCUCAUCACUCAAAAUAAA